RNAcentral lists this unclassified non-coding RNA (257 nucleotides) under Bombus terrestris (buff-tailed bumblebee). Its description in RNAcentral is "misc RNA ENSBTSG00005026872.1". The record is from RNAcentral. Lineage: Eukaryota; Metazoa; Arthropoda; Insecta; Hymenoptera; Apidae.
AAUUUUUUCUGGAUUUAGUCUAGACUAACACGGAAGGCAUAGCACAAUCAAAUCGAACAUAACAGAACUGAACAAAAGAAUAAAUGAAUCACCGAAUCUCAAGUUAAUACCGAACCUUAAGUGCAAUACUCUUACAAUACUUUUUAAGUUAAACUCACUGUUUCCAAUUAAGACUGACCUCUGACUGCUCUCAAUUAAAACUGAACUCUAACUUCUUUCAACACUACUUUCAAUUAAAUUCUGAACUUGGUAAAACC